This 372-nucleotide ribosomal RNA is filed under the name uncultured organism. RNAcentral's name for it is "partial 16S ribosomal RNA". It matches the Rfam family "Bacterial small subunit ribosomal RNA", at positions 527 to 896 of the family's 1533-position model. The record is from RNAcentral.
GUAGGUGGCAAGCGUUGUCCGGAAUUAUUGGGCGUAAAGCGCGCGCAGGCGGUUCUUUAAGUCUGAUGUGAAAGCCCACGGCUCAACCGUGGAGGGUCAUUGGAAACUGGAGAACUUGAGUACAGAAGAGGAAAGCGGAGUUCCACGUGUAGCGGUGAAAUGCGUAGAGAUGUGGAGGAACACCAGUGGCGAAGGCGGCUUUCUGGUCUGUAACUGACGCUGAGGCGCGAAAGCGUGGGGAGCAAACAGGGAUUAGAUACCCUGGUAGUCCACGCCGUAAACGAUGAGUGCUAAGUGUUAGGGGGUUUCCGCCCCCUUAGUGCUGCAGCUAACGCAUUAAGCACUCCGCCUGGGGAUACGGCCGCAAGGCUG